Molecule: ribosomal RNA, 482 nt
Filed under: uncultured bacterium
Lineage: Bacteria
Description: partial 16S ribosomal RNA
Rfam family: Bacterial small subunit ribosomal RNA
Source: RNAcentral
AUUGAACGCUGGCGGCAUGCUUUACACAUGCCAGUCGAACGGUAACAGGCCGCAAGGUGCUGACGAGUGGCGAACGGGUGAGUAAUGCAUCGGAACGUGCCCAGUCGUGGGGGAUAACCACUCGAAAGAGUAGCUAAUACCGCAUACGAUCUAUGGAUGAAAGCGGGGGACCGUAAGGCCUCGCGCGAUUGGAGCGGCCGAUGUCAGAUUAGGUAGUUGGUGGGGUAAAGGCUCACCAAGCCAACGAUCUGUAGCUGGUCUGAGAGGACGACCAGCCACACUGGGACUGAGACACGGCCCAGACUCCUACGGGAGGCAGCAGUGGGGAAUUUUGGACAAUGGGCGCAAGCCUGAUCCAGCAAUGCCGCGUGCAGGAAGAAGGCCUUCGGGUUGUAAACUGCUUUUGUACGGAACGAAACGGCUCUGGUUAAUACCCGGGGCUAAUGACGGUACCGUAAGAAUAAGCACCGGCUAACUACGUG